ACUACAGAAUCACAGAGGCUGUUGAAGAACAGUAAACCGGGUCAACUGUACGUCAUUGUUUGUGAUGUGGUUAACACAGGAAUUCCGUACAGUGACACCUUCUCUGUAAAGUCGCACUACUGUUUGACGAGGGUAACCAAUAACCAGUGCAGGCUUUGUGUCCACGGCAACAUUUAUUACAAAAAAUCUGUAUGGGGACUUGUCAAAUCUCUCAUAGAGAAAAGUGCAAUUCAAGGACUUCAUGACUUCUGUGUGGACUUGGAGGUUGCCCUCAACAAAGAAGCUGACUUGGUGAAUCAACAAUCAACAAAGAAACCAAGACGGCGGAAACGAGGCAAGCCUGUUGAAUUUUCCAAAGUAGAUUCUCACAAGGAAUUAUCAAGAUCACUACAUACACAAACAUCUGUCAGGAGGUUGAGUAAGUGUUUAAAAUGAAAACUAUAGAUUAAUAUAGUUACACAAGAUCACUACAUACACAAACAUCUGUCAGGAGGUUGAGUAAGUGUUUAAAAUGAAAAACUAUAGGUUAAAAUAGUUACACAAGAUCACUACAUACACAGACAUCUGUCAGGAGGUUGAGUAAGUGUCUAAAAUGAAAACUAGGUUAAAAUAGUUACACAAGAUCACUACAUACACAGACAUCUGACAGGAGGUUGAGUAAGUGUUUAAAAUGAAAACUAGGUUAAAAUAGUUACACAAGAUCACUACAUACACAAACAUCUGUCAGGAGGUUGAGUAAGUGUUUAAAAUGAAAACUAUAGAUUAAUAUAGUUACACAAUAUCACUACAUACACAAACAUCUGACAGGAGGUUGAGUAAGUGUCUAAAAUGAAACUAUAGAUUAAUAUAGUUACACAAGAUCACUACAUACACAUACAUCUGUCAGGAGGUUGAGUAAGUGUUUAAAAUGAAAACUAUAGAUUAAUAUAGUUACACAAGAUCACUACAUACACAGACAUCUGUCAGGAGGUUGAGUAAGUGUUUAAAAUGAAACUAUAGAUUAAUAUAGUUACACAAGAUCACUACAUACACAACAUCUGUCAGG
This is a long non-coding RNA of Limulus polyphemus (Atlantic horseshoe crab), 1045 nucleotides long. RefSeq lists it as uncharacterized. NCBI's taxonomy places the organism in Eukaryota, Metazoa, Arthropoda, Merostomata, Xiphosura, Limulidae. The transcript has 4 exons. The record is from RefSeq and is a predicted model, not a curated record.